AAAUGAAAAGAAGGGACUAAUAGGGAAUAAGACGUGUGAUCCAUGGCCCGAUGGCCCUGAUGGACGUGAAGAUCCACUGUUGUGGGAGGAGUGGAACACUAACACUGAAUGAUGGAGGCUGUGGUCAGAAACAGAUUUGUCUGAAUUUCAGUUGAUCCAGAGCAAGAAAAAUAGCUGAAUAUAACUGGCCAGUGCAGAAGAGCCUAUGAAGGUGGAAAAUGGAGGAAGGAGGACCCCAUGCUGGAGAAGUGAUGGAGAUUUGAAGCCUUGGAAGAUGGCGGCAAGGGAGAUGCCAGAGAUGAGACAAUGUUAAACAUCUGUAAUCUAACAGUCUUCUAUGGGAGUUUAUUACAUUUCCAUAUCCUAUGUUCACUUCUAGUGAAAAAUAAAAAUAAAAUCUUAAGCCCCCCACAGCUGACUAAAUGGAUCCCAUUGUGAAAGGAAAAUAUCUUGAGCCUCCAAAAUCACUAAGGAAAAUUCAAGCUGGAAACUUCUUAGGACAAACCUGCCUCCCAUUCUCUUCAAAGUUAUUCCUCUGCUCGAGGAGCUAGAUGCAUAUCUGAUUGCCGCCUUUGGAAAGGCUAACCAGAAACUCAAAAGAAUGAUACAGUUUGUUAUCACCUACCUGUGACCUGGAAGCUCCCUCCCUCCCCACUUGAGUCUUCCUGCUUUUGUUUCAAGCUGUCCUGCCUUUCCAGACCAAACCAAUGUACUUCUUACGUAUAUUGAUUGAUGUCUCACUCAUGUCUCCCUAAAUCGUAUAAAACCAAGCUGUGCCCCAACUACCCUGGGCAUGUGUCAUCAGGAUUUCAUGAAGCUGUGUCACGGGCGCAUUCCCCAACCUUGAAAAAAUAAACUUUCUAAAUUAACUGAAAAAAAAAAA
RNAcentral lists this long non-coding RNA (883 nucleotides) under Homo sapiens (human). Its description in RNAcentral is "long independently transcribed non-coding RNA 2365, transcript variant 1 (LINC02365)". Lineage: Eukaryota; Metazoa; Chordata; Mammalia; Primates; Hominidae. The record is from RNAcentral.